UCAGCAUACCAAGCUUUUGCCAACCUGAGAAAUCAACCACAACAGAAGAAGGAGGAGGAGGAGGAGGAGCAGGAGCAGGAGGAGAGAAUUCUGGUAUCUACUCUUAAGCUUUUUGGAAGUCUUUGCUGGGACAUGGUGAACCAGCUCUUCCUGUGAGUGAAAGUCUCUGCAGAGCCACCUCUUACAGUACUGGCAGGGAAACAUGAUCACUCAGCAGUUGCUGUAACAGGUCUAGAAGGGAGGAUGAUGGUCCAGUUCCUGCAUAUGAACAGCUGGCUGCCAUGGAAGGUUAAUCCUUGCCUCAACACCUACAGCAGCUAUUUUAAUACCUUCUGAGCCUUAUUAAUAAGACAUCAUCCCUUCUAUCCACCCAAAAGAGGAAAAUAUAAAAUUGGAAAGCACUUCAGAUCUUCUUAUUGAAAUCUAAAAAACAACACAAAAUAAAAAGCUUUGGAAAAUGCUAU
Molecule: long non-coding RNA, 464 nt
Organism: Python bivittatus (Burmese python)
Lineage: Eukaryota; Metazoa; Chordata; Lepidosauria; Squamata; Pythonidae
Source: RefSeq, a predicted model, not a curated record